This 236-nucleotide ribosomal RNA is filed under the name uncultured bacterium. RNAcentral describes it as "partial 16S ribosomal RNA". It matches the Rfam family "Bacterial small subunit ribosomal RNA", at positions 118 to 351 of the family's 1533-position model. The record is from RNAcentral.
UGAGUAACCUGCCCUUAACUCUGGGAUAAGCCUGGGAAACUGGGUCUAAUACCGGAUAUGACUCCUCAUCGCAUGGUGGGGGGUGGAAAGCUUUUUGUGGUUUUGGAUGGACUCGCGGCCUAUCAGCUUGUUGGUGAGGUAAUGGCUCACCAAGGCGACGACGGGUAGCCGGCCUGAGAGGGUGGCCGGCCACACGUGGGACUGAGACACGGCCCAGACCUCCGUACGGGAGGCAG